UGUAAACCGAAGCUGCGGCAAUGUUCUUGGAACAUUGGGUAGGGGAGCGUUCUGUAAGCCGUUGAAGGUGUGUUGUAAAGCAUGCUGGAGGUAUCAGAAGUGCGAAUGCUGACAUGAGUAACGACAAGGGGGGUGAAAAACCUCCCCGCCGGAAGACCAAGGGUUCCUGUCCAACGUUAAUCGGGGCAGGGUGAGUCGACCCCUAAGGCGAGGCCGAAAGGCGUAGUCGAUGGGAAACGGGUUAAUAUUCCCGUACUCGAUCAAAUUGCGAUGGGGGGACGGAGAAGGCUAGGUGGGCCUGGCGACGGUUGUCCAGGUUCAAGUGCGUAGGCUGAGUGUUUAGGUAAAUCCGGACACUCGAUAGGCUGAGACACGACGUCGAGCUGCUACGGCAGUGAAGUCAUUGAUGCCAUGCUUCCAGGAAAAGCCUCUAAGCUUCAGAUUUGAUGGAAUCGUACCCCAAACCGACACAGGUGGUCGGGUAGAGAAUACCAAGGCGCUUGAGAGAACUCGGGUGAAG
Molecule: ribosomal RNA, 520 nt
Filed under: Vibrio navarrensis
Lineage: Bacteria; Pseudomonadati; Pseudomonadota; Gammaproteobacteria; Vibrionales; Vibrionaceae
Description: partial 23S ribosomal RNA
Rfam family: Bacterial large subunit ribosomal RNA
Source: RNAcentral